CUACAUUCCAGGUUCUUCAAUUCCAACUAAAUCCAGGCUAGUGACUUUCUGAUGAGUUCUCAGUGAAUCUCCAAACCCGCCUUCAGCCUGAGUUUAAACUCACAAGGUGAGGAUCACAGACCGCCGGAAGGGUUGAGUAGCGGAAUGGACGGGCAGCAUAGCCAAUCGGAUUUUGGAAUUCUUCCGGAAGGGGCGGCACCCCGCCAUGUAAUUGACCCGACUGUACGGGAUUGGCGAGUCCGUAGCGGGCCAGUGGUGGCGGGAGAUUUCGGAAGUCUUGGCACCGGCCCUGGCUGCAGCGGUUGGGCUGGGCUGGGCUGAGCUGAGUUGAAGGCGCGAGUGGCUGAAUCGGGAAGGAGGACCCCCGAGGAUCCCCGAGCUUUCUGAUCGUGGCGUGCUGAGCUGUUGCCUUCUGUCCGAUCCCCGACCCGCAGACAGAGAUGGAGAGGCACAGGCCGCGGCUGCACCACCCGGCCCAGGGCUUCGCCGCCGGGGCCCCCUAUCCCUCCUCCGCCUCGCUCCGCAGCUGCCGGGAAAGCAAGAUGUCUCGCAGGAAGGGCCCUCAGCACCCUCCGCUGCUCGGCAGCCUCGAGGAGCCCGGGGGAGAAACGCUCCAAGUUUCAUUUAAAUAUUAGGAUACUGACGGAUGAUAUGGUAAGGUUAUCCUCCUCAUUUUCUUUGUUAUGAAUUUUAACUAACCAUAAAAUAUUGGUGCCAUGCUGUGCUAACACCUUUACAAUGAC
RNAcentral lists this long non-coding RNA (743 nucleotides) under Heterocephalus glaber (naked mole-rat). Its description in RNAcentral is "lncRNA (ENSHGLG00100049896.1)". The record is from RNAcentral. Lineage: Eukaryota; Metazoa; Chordata; Mammalia; Rodentia; Bathyergidae.